This 447-nucleotide ribosomal RNA is filed under the name uncultured bacterium. RNAcentral describes it as "partial 16S ribosomal RNA". It matches the Rfam family "Bacterial small subunit ribosomal RNA", at positions 29 to 523 of the family's 1533-position model. The record is from RNAcentral.
AGCGAACGCUGGCGGCAGGCCUAACACAUGCAAGUCGAGCGCCCCGCAAGGGGAGCGGCAGACGGGAGAGUAACACGUGGGAACGUACCCUUUGGUUCGGAACAACCCAGGGAAACUUGGGCUAAUACCGGAUAAGCCCUUACGGGGAAAGAUUCAUCGCCGAAGGAUCGGCCCGCGUCUGAUUAGCUAGUUGGUGGGGUAACGGCCCACCAAGGCGACGAUCAGUAGCUGGGCUGAGAGGAUGAUCAGCCUCACUGGGACUGAGACACGGCCCAGACCCCUACGGGAGGCAGCAGUGGGGAAUAUUGGACAAUGGGCGCAAGCCUGAUCCAGCCAUGCCGCGUGGGUGAUGAAGGCCCUAGGGUUGUAAAGCCCUUUCGGCGGGGAAGAUAAUGACGGUACCCGCAGAAGAAGCCCCGGCUAACUUCGUUCCAGCAGCCGCAGUAA